Non-coding RNA from Triticum aestivum (bread wheat), 125 nucleotides. NCBI's taxonomy places the organism in Eukaryota, Viridiplantae, Streptophyta, Magnoliopsida, Poales, Poaceae. The record is from Rfam.
UGAAUACUCCCUCUGUCCAAAAAUACUUGUCAUAAAAAUGGAUACAAAUGGAUGUAUCUACAACUAAAAUACGUCUAGAUACACCCAUUCCGUGGACAAGUAUUUCCGGACAGAGGGAGUACAAA